AUAAUAUAUUUUGUAAGGUCCAAAAUACUCUCAUAUAAUUAUUGCUUAUUUCUGGCAGGUCUGUUACGUUCAUUAAAAACAUCAGAACAAGAGUUGAUUCUUAUGGAACAUCACCAGUGACUCUUAAAGGUUUCUCCCAAACAGGUGUAGAGAACGGCGCAGAACAAGAUGACCGUGUCAGCGGUGGUCAUCGUGGUGGUGAUGGUUGUGGGUUGUGCCACCUUGACACACGCUGGCGAUAUAAUUGGCACUUCGCUGUUAGAGUCAUACAAGACUGUGCUGCUGGAGCAAGAUGUGACGAUGCCCAGGGAAGAACUGAUCACAAUCCUCUCGUCCUUCGUAGAAAACCUCCGUGUACGACAAAUAAUCAACGAUGACAGCACUUGGUUCUUUAUCAGAGGCAACUUAAUCUCAGCUAUCCACCUCCUAUCUUCCAGCGAAAGUGCUGCUGUUGCUGCUGCCCGUCAAAUUGUCCGGUUCACCUUCAGAUGUUUUGGUCCGCCUUUACAGACGACAUUGUAAACGAGAGAAACUUAGGAAUUGGAGCAGCGCUGUAUAGCCCUUGUGGUUUAGCGCUUCUUUUUUAUUAUAAUAAUAAUUAGGAAUUGGAUGCAAGAUCUAGUGCCUUUCAUGCAGCAUUUUCUCGCUCUUAUUUUCAUUAACAUAGACGUUGAUCUAUAAUGCAACAUAUCAAUAAUUUUCCAAAUUUGAUACGAUGUAAUGAGGAAAGAAGUAAAAAAAGAAAUUUCUCGAAAUUUAUGCUAUGAGAAUGUAAUAAUACCCAGUCACUCGGCCUAGGGAUCUUCUAUAUAAACACGUGGAUAUACAACACAUGUAAGUGGAUCAGCAACUAUGCUGACAUAUAAAGUACUUCCAGUUAUGUGCAGACUUAUGUUAAACAUCUUCACAUUGGUGAGAAAUGCAAUGAAAGUAAAAGAUUUUGCCUCGGUACAAAAGCUGAGAAAGGAGGUCUCGGAUGAGUUUGCUAGAGUACCUAAAAAGAACAACCACAGACGCCCACGCAUGCGCCCGUCCACGCACACACUCGCGCACAUACGCUCACACAAGCUGAUAAACACCUCACUUUUUUAUUAGGCCAAACUUUUCCUAUUUUACAUUUUCUUGGCAACAUUUUUUUUUCGUUGUCUUGGAAAGGAAUAAACCUACAAUUACAAGGAAACAUUUGAGAUGCAAAUACUUUUCAAAGAUAUGGUGAAAAAAAAAGACUAGACCAAAAUUUCAUUUGAAAUUUUAUAUUUGAGCGAGUUUCAAAAAUUUCCAGCGAAAAAUAUAUCAUGCUUGUCUCUAUCAAAGUAUGAAGAGACUAAAUAUUUUCAGUGCAGUCAGAAAAUAGGUCCCAAAUUCUUAUAGGAAUUGUAUAGUUACUCUGAAUACUCGUAUUAUUAUUAUUAUUAUUAUUAUUAUUAUUAUUAUUAUUAUUAUUAUUAUUAUGAUUAUUAUUAUUAUUAUUAUUAUUAUUAUUAUUAUUAUUAUUAUUAUUAUUAUAUACGUGAUUUUUAAUUAAGUUGUAGAGUAUUUUUAUAUUUAAUUUCCUUCGUGGGAGUUUGUUUAAUUGCUACGAAGGGUUUUGAUUCGAGGAACUGGAGUUAUCAUUAGAGCUUCCCAUGAAUAUAAUAAAAAUUAUAUUUACUACAUAUAUUUUUCUAGUCAACUAAUGCCAAAAUUAUUUAGUUUUGUAUUUUGUAUUCAGAUCAGUAACAUUAUAAUUGUGUUCCUUAUUGUCUAAAUUAAUAAUAAUUUGCUUAAUUGAUUUUUAUUAUUAAAAUAAUGGUGCACAACAUCGACAAUGUAGGUAUAAGGUUCGUCAGGAAACAGUGUUUCCUGACGCAGGUCUUAGUCACAUGAUGCCCCGCAGCUGGAGCUUUUGGUCAUCUGACCGAGGCCUUCGGCUGGGUUACCCGCUCACCCCUUUAAAUAUUAUAGUCACUUCUACAAGAUGAUGAAUUAGACACGUGUAACAUCCGGAUGUAUUUAUGUGACUUCAUCAGAGGUAUUUUUGCGUUUUUAAUUAAUCCACCGGUUGGCGAAAAGUUCUCAAAUAAACAUUACUCAGGUACUGCACGUGUGUUUUAUUUUUUUGAGCUUUGCUGGAAAAUUAGACUAAGUUAUAUAUUUCAGUCUUUACCCUUUUGUUUUUUUGACUUGACACUGCACUUGCUUCUCUUUUUAUUCACUGAAUGAAAUUUAUAUUAAUCAUUUUGUACACAU
Non-coding RNA from Cherax quadricarinatus, 2229 nucleotides. Lineage: Eukaryota; Metazoa; Arthropoda; Malacostraca; Decapoda; Parastacidae. The record is from RefSeq and is a predicted model, not a curated record.